GACGACCCGUGCGAACGUUGUUCGGAAUCACUGGGCUUAAAGGGCGCGUAGGUGGUUUGCCAAGUCGGGGUUGAAAUCUUUCGGCUUAACCGGAAAAGUGGCUUCGAUACUGGCAAGCUGGAGGGAGGUAGGGGCGGAUGGAACUUCCGGUGGAGCGGUGAAAUGUGUUGAUAUCGGAAGGAACGCCGGUGGCGAAAGCGAUCCGCUGGACCUCUUCUGACACUGAGGCGCGAAAGCCAGGGGAGCAAACGGG
Molecule: ribosomal RNA, 253 nt
Filed under: uncultured bacterium
Lineage: Bacteria
Description: partial 16S ribosomal RNA
Rfam family: Bacterial small subunit ribosomal RNA
Source: RNAcentral